RNAcentral lists this long non-coding RNA (3285 nucleotides) under Homo sapiens (human). RNAcentral's name for it is "HSALNT0323172". The record is from RNAcentral. Lineage: Eukaryota; Metazoa; Chordata; Mammalia; Primates; Hominidae.
AUCCACCUGCCUCGGCCUCCCAAAGUGCUGAGAUUACAGGCAUGAGCCACUGUGCCUGGUCCCACUGAUUUUUUAUAGCUUCUAAUUUUCUGUUGAAAUUCUCCCACUCCUUAUCUUUUGCUUUACUUUCUUUUAUCGAUCAAUCUAAGUAUUUUAAAGUCUGAGUAUCCUGUAGAACUCUCUCUAAGUCAUUAUCUCUAUCUUACCAGUAGGGAAACUAAAAAAUUUCAUGAAGAAUAAAAUCCAUUGUACAAUGCGUAAUAUAGUCAAAGAUCUUGAAAAAGAAUUGGUGUCUAAACCAUUAUUUUUCACUUUUAAUCAAUAAACAUUAUUCCUCUUUAGAGGAGGUAAAAAAACCCAUAUAAAAUAUACUGAAAAUAAAUUUCAUUAAACAUUAAAUGAUGAAUAGUUCUAAAUCUAUCUUCUUUGCAUUCAUUAACUAGCACUUCAGAGCAAAAAUAAUGGUAGCUUUUGUUAUGGCUUCAUAUUUCUUUAAAAUAUUGACUUAAAAUAGAUUUUCAAUCUGGGGAAUAGAUAAGAACUAAUGCCAUUUGGUUUUAAAUAGAAUUGUGUUGUAAUCCUCAAGCUAAAGGCAUAGCAAAAAAAAAAAAAAUGACAACAUCACUGGAAAUUUGCCUCAGUCUACUUACUGUUCACCAUUUAAUUAGACACUUUUUAAUUCUGGCAGAAAGUCUAAGGAAUUCAUGGAUCCACCUUCUAAGCACAUCAAGGAGUGUUAAUACACUGGACAGUUAGAACAAUGGCAGCAGAACAUCUUAUUUAAACUCUUGACAUAAUAAAAUAAUUUUUUCUUGUUUUGGUAAUAAUAUCAUUAAUACUUUACAGUUGUGGCAUACUACAAUGUUAAAGAUUCAAUUAAGCAAGAGAGCACCAUAAUACACUUUAAAUAAGACUGCUAUAACUUUCACAGGCACGGUUUCAAACAAGACUAGUCAACCCUCAUUAUUCAUUAGGACUACUUCAUAUAAGUCAGCUUACCAAUAAGUAGCAUUUUACAAAAGCCUCUUAUCUACUGACUUACCAUAUAGGUCUUAGGAAAAAUGUUUUAUUUUUGAAUAGUUAUAUGGAUACUAUAAAGAUGGUGACUGUUUAUCACUAUGUUGUGAAAUUUCUUGCCUUCCUUCAAUUUUUUUUUUAAGUGGAGAAAUGAUUUUCUAAAAAGUCUGAGUCUUCUAAGCAUAGCUCAUCUCCUGGUAAAAAUUGCAGUGCUCCAUUAGUUAAUAAUGCCAUCGCAAGCCGUCCUUUUCUCUCUUCUAAUGUACCAUACAAACAAAAUUUGUGCAAGUCAAAGAGCAGGGCAAAGUUUUCAUACUUCAUAGAGCUUUAAGUAAGUUUAUUUCAUAGAACUGUGGGAGUGCCAGCCAAAGAGCUUCCAGUAUGAAACUUUCAGUUGCCUUUAUGGAGAUGGCCACUGGCAGCCUACCACCUUGGUCAUGCUCCCGUGGGCAGGCAGGGAGAAGGCAGCUUGCGCAGACAGCACAGAAAAAAGGCCUUUGGAUAGAGGCGACUUCCCAGGCUCGUGAGCUGCAAGAGCCAGGCGCUCCAGUAGCACAGAGCCCGGAAAUCGGGCACGCAGUCGGAGCGUGCGUGCAGGCACAGGAAGUGACGCAGAGUUGAUGCGUCAGGCUUAGGCUCAGACUGCAGUGACAGCAGCUGCGUUCAGGUCUUCUCGAGUUCCUGAAGGAUGGAGCCUGGGUUUUUUUUUUUUUUUUUUAAUUUAUUUCUAAAUUUCCCCCCUUUUCCCUCUGUGUUGGUCAUUUGCUGUUGUUAUUUUUGACAUGUUUUAUAAUUUUCAGUCGGUUUUCAGAAUAUAGAUAGCAUACUGUACAUUCUCUAUAUGAUGUUCCCACGAAAGUGCUGUUUUUAUUUUUUAGUUAUAAAGCACUUCAGUGAAUGACUUUGAUCCAGUUGAGACUUAGUUUUAAGCUUUGUUAUACUUGACCUUUUUAAUUUGCUACUUACAGGAUGUGACCAUUAAUCUUAGAAAGUAGCUUUGCCCAAGUCCUGGACCUAGGUUUAGCACGCUCCCUCUGGAUUUAAUUCUAAUCUCUAACUCCUCAGUGCCAUUCAGCUGCUGAAAUCUCUGCUCAGCAUUCAAGCUUUCUGUUUGCUGUUUCCCACUACAUAUCUUGAAGGCUUGCCUUGUACAUGCACAAGUCAGAAAUUUACCCACAAUUUGAGGGAAAUUAGGAUGCAGAUUUGGGGACACUCUCUUAGCUUCCUGUCUUUUUCAAUAGUUUGCUCCUCAAAUCACAGCUCCUUUGGCGUCCUGAAACGCCAGACUUUGUCUCCUCUGACGUGUGAAACUCCUGCUUUCUUCUUGGGCUCUUUUCGCCUUCACCACAACUUGGAAAAUGCCCCCAGGAAAAUUCCGAGGUUCUCAGGGUGGCAGAUGAGGAAGAAGGUGGAGAACAGGAUAGAAAUGAAAUUUUGAGAAGGGAGUCCAGCCUAGAAGGGUAAAAUAUCAGGAAGGAAAUGGAACUCUCAUAAAGACGGCAAAAGGAAUAGAACGACCUUAAAUAAACUGCAAAUAUUGUUUUGAAUCACCUCCCAACUUUUUGCUUUUCUGUCCUUCUUCUUUUGGCAUCUUUCUGUCUUCCUCCUGGCCUGCCCCAUUCUUUUUGGGGCUUCUCACUAGGGCAGUCACCUGGAGGGCUUGUUUCAAUAUCUGUAUUGAAACAAGACUGUCCUCCAGUUUCCGAUUCCAUAAGUCUCCGGUGGGUUUUGAGGAUUUUCAUUUCUAACAAAUUUCUAGGUGAAGCUGAUGCUGCUGGUUCAGGGCCACACUUUGAGAACCACUGGCCUUGGGAUGUGUUUUACCAUCUUAAUAUGUUCAUUCAUUCAUGCAUUUGUUCAUUCAGUUAAUGUCCAGGCAGUGCCUUAGACAUUGCAUACUCCCCACAGAAUCCAGCUUUAGUGACAAGCAUUGAGUAGGUCUUCAAUACAUUUUAAACUGUUGUGCAAUGUGCAUUUCUCCAGGUCUCACUAGCCCAUGGCUACCAAGCAUUCUUUGGCAGGAGUGACUUGAACUGCACUGACUUUUACCCUCUCCUGUGUAGAACAAGAACUCCAGCACUGCUCCAAAAAGCACUUAUUGUGUCUUAGGGAUGCCUAGUCUUGUAGUUCAUAUACUUAUAACCCAGGCAGUUCUGGUUACCACACACAAGCCUCUCCCAUGGAUGUCUUCUCUCUGUGCAGCUACUUAUGGGUAACUUACUGCUGCACCUGCUGCUGUUGCUGCUUUCUAUGGUAACCAUGAAGUAC